CUGUCGCCCUCACGGGAUCUCCCCGAGUCGCGUCUUCAUCUUCUGGAUUUACUGCCGUCUCUCCUUUCUCCUCGGUUUAUGCUUGAUUUGAUGUUUCCUUUUUUUUUCUCUCCGUUUGAUCUGCUUAUCGGUGGGCAAAUGAGGAGUCCGUUAAUUUUAAUGGGUAAUUUGCGUCUGAAGCAUCUUUUGUGAUGUUGCACUUCAUAUCACCUUGGAGAUCUGAUGCCCAAUGUUCUAACUCUCUAUUGUUUAUUUUCUCAUGCAACGAGGAUGUUUAUUUGCGGUGAUCGUAUUAUCUGAUUUCCUUUGUUCUUUCAAGAUGGAUGAUGAUGGAUUGAUGAUAUUGGGGGAGAGAUGAUGAUGAGUGAUUAGUUUCCUUUUUUUUCUCUCCGUUUGAUCUGCUUAUCGGUGGGCAAAUGAGGAGUCCGUUAAUUUUAAUGGGUAAUUUGCGUCUGAAGCAUCUUUUGUGAUGUUGCACAUCAUAUCACCUUGGAGAUCUGAUGCCCAAUGUUCUAACUCUCUAUUGUUUGUUUUCUGAUGCAACGAGGAUGUUUAUUUGCGGUGAUCGUAUUAUCUGAUUUCCUUUGUUAUUUCAAGAUGGAUGAUGAUGGAUUGAUGAUAUUGGGGGAGAGAUGAUGAUGAGUGAUUAGUUUCCCUAUUGGUUUGAUAGCCGACAUGAUGGCUACCAUUGUAUUAGCUCUAUCUGAUCCCUCUUUUCCAUCACAUUUUAUUUCAUCGCCAUCGUCUUGUUUUCUUCGAUGAUCUAUUAAAAGUUUUAUUCUUUUUGAUUUUUGAUCUAUUUUUAAAGUUUUAUUUUUUUUAUUUUACUUUUCUAUUAUAUUUGGCUUUUCCAGAAUAAAAAAUAAAAGGGAUUGGUAUAAAUAUUAAAACUAUUUGUGUAAUUUUCCCCUGAAAAAGGAAACUGCUUUAUACCUCAUUCGAUUUACACUUUAGCGUUUAUUUAGGUUCAGUCAUCCAAGUGCAUGAGACAUUGCUAUGGUGAGAAAAGCUAAAGGUGGCUGCAUGCUUCAAACUUGUUCUCACAUGGUGCUAUUUAUUUUAGUCCCCAAAAGACGUGCAUAAAUCUGGCACUCCAUCUUUUGACGAUCUCAUUUCUUCUUUGCAUCCAACAACCAUGAGAGCCGGUUCAAGAGCUGUGAGUAUGCUGUGUGUUCUCUUUCUUCUUCACUUUCAUCUCUGUUCUACAUCCAGUCUGCCCCUCGACAAGGAGUUGAUGAGAGGAAGUUGGCAAACCAGAAAGCUGCUACAGCAUUGGUCAUCAAAUUCUGCUGAUCUAACCAGCUCGCAUGCAGUAGCUAAGCAGCCCGAGAAGGCAGUCAGGGCAGGCUUAAGGAAGAUGCCUCCAAGCAGGUCGAAUCCAACACAGAACUAGCAGAAGGGAUCUGCUAGACUGUGAAGGGAGAACUGAAUGAUCUCCUUCCACUGUUUUUGUACUGAGUUCAUCCAGCUUUAGAUUCUUCCCCUCUCUCUUUGCCUUGUUGGCAAAGUAGACCUGUAGAUGAUGAUGUUCUUUUCUUCUCCUUUCUCUCAUUGUUUAUAGAGGUCAUGCCUCAGAAUUGUAGAACCUGUUAAGUUGAGGAUGUUUUACUUUGGUAAUCUACUGUAUUAUACUAGUCAUCAGUCAAUGAAGAAUUAACUUUAUUUUGCA
Musa acuminata AAA Group (dessert banana) is the source of this 1669-nucleotide long non-coding RNA. RefSeq lists it as uncharacterized. The record is from RefSeq and is a predicted model, not a curated record. The transcript is spliced from 2 exons. NCBI's taxonomy places the organism in Eukaryota, Viridiplantae, Streptophyta, Magnoliopsida, Zingiberales, Musaceae.